This 447-nucleotide ribosomal RNA is filed under the name uncultured bacterium. RNAcentral's name for it is "SSU rRNA". It matches the Rfam family "Bacterial small subunit ribosomal RNA", at positions 26 to 518 of the family's 1533-position model. The record is from RNAcentral.
AGAGCGAACGCUGGCGGCAGGCUUAACACAUGCAAGUCGAGCGGGCGUAGCAAUACGUCAGCGGCAGACGGGUGAGUAACGCGUGGGAACAUACCUUUUGGUUCGGAACAACACAGGGAAACUUGUGCUAAUACCGGAUAAGCCCUUACGGGGAAAGAUUUAUCGCCGAAAGAUUGGCCCGCGUCUGAUUAGCUAGUUGGUGAGGUAACGGCUCACCAAGGCGACGAUCAGUAGCUGGUCUGAGAGGAUGAUCAGCCACAUUGGGACUGAGACACGGCCCAAAACUCCUACGGGAGGCAGCAGUGGGGAAUAUUGGACAAUGGGCGCAAGCCUGAUCCAGCCAUGCCGCGUGAGUGAUGAAAGGCCCUAGGGUUGUAAAGCUCUUUUGUGCGGAAGAUAAUGACGGUACGCAAGAAUAAGCCCGGCUAACUUCGCGCCAGCAGCCGC